RNAcentral lists this ribosomal RNA (477 nucleotides) under Myurellopsis undulata. Its description in RNAcentral is "partial 16S ribosomal RNA". It matches the Rfam family "Bacterial large subunit ribosomal RNA", at positions 1859 to 2598 of the family's 2925-position model. Lineage: Eukaryota; Metazoa; Mollusca; Gastropoda; Neogastropoda; Terebridae. The record is from RNAcentral.
CUGCCCGGUGANUUUUUUAACGGCCGCGGUACUCUGACCGUGCAAAGGUAGCAUAAUCAUUUGCCUUAUAAUUGAAGGCUGGUAUGAAUGGUUUGACGAGAAUAUAACUGUCUCUUUACAAUUUGAUAGAAUUUUAUAUUUAGGUGAAAAAGCCUUAAUUUAAUUAAAAGACAAGAAGACCCUAUCGAGCUUAAGAGAAAUUAGCAGAUGUAUAGAUUUUUGGUUAAAAAAUAUAACUGUUAAACAUUUUUGGUUGGGGCGACUGAGGAACAUGAGAAGCUUCCUUUUAUAAUCUUUUAUAUACGAAUUAUUGAUCCACAGUUAGUGAUUAAAGGAAUUAGUUACCGUAGGGAUAACAGCAUAAUCUUUUUUGAGAGUUCUUAUCGAAAAAAGGGUUUGUGACCUCGAUGUUGGACCAGAAUAUCCUAAAGAUGUAGAAGUCUUUAAGGGUUGGUCUGUUCGACCAUUAAAAUUCUA